RNAcentral lists this transfer RNA (70 nucleotides) under marine eukaryotic metagenome. It matches the Rfam family "tRNA". From Rfam's summary of the family: Transfer RNA (tRNA) molecules are approximately 80 nucleotides in length. Their secondary structure includes four short double-helical elements and three loops (D, anti-codon, and T loops). The record is from RNAcentral.
CCAGAUAGCUCAGUUGGUAGAGCAGGGGACUGAAAAUCCCCGUGUCGGUGGUUCGAUUCCACCUCUGGCC